RNAcentral lists this ribosomal RNA (253 nucleotides) under uncultured bacterium. RNAcentral describes it as "partial 16S ribosomal RNA". It matches the Rfam family "Bacterial small subunit ribosomal RNA", at positions 524 to 776 of the family's 1533-position model. The record is from RNAcentral.
UACGUAGGGGGCAAGCGUUGUCCGGAAUCAUUGGGCGUAAAGAGCUCGUAGGCGGCUUGUUGCGUCGGCUGUGAAAACCCAUGGCUCAACCGUGGGCUUGCAGCCGAUACGGGCAGGCUAGAGUUCGGUAGGGGAGACUGGAAUUCCUGGUGUAGCGGUGAAAUGCGCAGAUAUCAGGAGGAACACCGGUGGCGAAGGCGGGUCUCUGGGCCGAUACUGACGCUGAGGAGCGAAAGCGUGGGGAGCGAACAGG